UUCGGCGUGAGCCCGAGGCGGUUCACGUGUCCGGAGCAAUCCAGAGGAAAAAUAGCCGACGUGGACGUCAGGAAGGAUGAGCUGCUCCAGAGGAUCAUCAGAGAGUAAGAGAAAGCACAUAAGCCCAGGUAGGCCCCUUGCUGCAUGAUGAAUUGGUGGAGGAGCUGCUGAUCCAGAGAACCAUGAGG
Long non-coding RNA from Toxotes jaculatrix (banded archerfish), 188 nucleotides. RefSeq lists it as uncharacterized. The record is from RefSeq and is a predicted model, not a curated record. The transcript is spliced from 3 exons. NCBI's taxonomy places the organism in Eukaryota, Metazoa, Chordata, Actinopteri, Toxotidae.